This 153-nucleotide ribosomal RNA is filed under the name uncultured bacterium. Its description in RNAcentral is "partial 16S ribosomal RNA". It matches the Rfam family "Bacterial small subunit ribosomal RNA", at positions 497 to 649 of the family's 1533-position model. The record is from RNAcentral.
CUAAUUCGGUGCCUUCAGCCGCGGUAAUACGGGAGUGGCAAGCGUUAUCCGGAAUUAUUGGGCGUAAAGCGUCCGCAGGCGGCUUUGUAAGUCUGCUGUCAAAGCUUGCAUCUCUUCUCCAUUUCGGCAGUGGAAACUACAAGGCUUGAGUGU